UUCCAGACUCCUACGGGAGGCAGCAGUAGGGAAUCUUUCACAAUGGGCGAAAGCCUGAUGGGGCAACGCCGCGUGCAGGAUGAAGGCCUUCGGGUUGUAAACUGCUUUUAUAAGCGAGAAAUAUGAUGGUAACUUAUGAAUAAGGGUCGGCUAACUACGUGUCAGCAGCCGCGGUAAUACGGAGGAUGCGAGCGUUAUCCGGAUUUAUUGGGUUUAAAGGAUGCGCAGGCGGAGAUGCAAGUCAGCGGUCAAAUUGCGGGGCUCAACCCCGUACUGCCGUUGAAACUGCAUCCCUUGAGUGCGCGAGAAGUAUGCGGAAUGCGUGGUGUAGCGGUGAAAUGCAUAGAUAUCACGCAGAACUCCGAUUGCGAAGGCAGCAUACCGGCGCUCAACUGACGCUCAUGCACGAAAGUGUGGGUAUCGAACAGGAUUAGAUACCCGCGUACU
Molecule: ribosomal RNA, 447 nt
Filed under: uncultured bacterium
Lineage: Bacteria
Description: bacterial SSU rRNA
Rfam family: Bacterial small subunit ribosomal RNA
Source: RNAcentral